AAAAAAAUAAUCCAAUACGAUUGAAAAGAUCAAGUUACCAUAGGGAUAACAGCGUAAUAAUUUUCUAAAGAUCCUAUAAAAACAAUAGUUUGCGACCUCGAUGUUGAAUUAAUUACCUAAUUAGAGCAAAAACCAAUUAAGGAAGUCUGUUCGACUUUUAAACAAUUACAUGAUUUGAGUUCAGACCGGUAUAAGCCAGGUCGGUUUCUAUCUUCUACUAUUAACUUCUUACAGUACGAAAGGACCCAAGAAAAUAA
RNAcentral lists this ribosomal RNA (257 nucleotides) under Selenops insularis. RNAcentral's name for it is "partial 16S ribosomal RNA". The stretch from base 1 to 216 matches the Rfam family "Archaeal large subunit ribosomal RNA", at positions 2352 to 2715 of the family's 2987-position model. Lineage: Eukaryota; Metazoa; Arthropoda; Arachnida; Araneae; Selenopidae. The record is from RNAcentral.